RNAcentral lists this ribosomal RNA (497 nucleotides) under uncultured bacterium. Its description in RNAcentral is "partial 16S ribosomal RNA". It matches the Rfam family "Bacterial small subunit ribosomal RNA", at positions 28 to 507 of the family's 1533-position model. The record is from RNAcentral.
GAUGAACGCUGGCGGCGUGCCUAAUACAUGCAAGUCGAGCGAACAGACGAGGAGCUUGCUCCUUCGACGUUAGCGGCGGACGGGCGAGUAACACGUAGGUAACCUACCUAUAAGACUGGGAUAACUUCGGGAAACCGGAGCUGAUACCGGAUAAUAUUUCGAACCGCAUGGUUCGAUAGUGAAAGAUGGCUUUGCUAUCACUUAUAGAUGGACCUGCGCCGUAUUAGCUAGUUGGUAAGGUAACGGCUUACCAAGGCAACGAUACGUAGCCGACCUGAGAGGGUGAUCGGCCACACUGGAACUGAGACACGGUCCAGACUCCUACGGGAGGCAGCAGUAGGGAAUCUUCCGCAAUGGGCGAAAGCCUGACGGAGCAACGCCGCGUGAGUGAUGAAGGUCUUCGGAUCGUAAAACUCUGUUAUUAGGGAAGAACAAACGUGUAAGUAACUGUGCACGUCUUGACGGUACCUAAUCAGAAAGCCACGGCUAACUACGUG